RNAcentral lists this ribosomal RNA (216 nucleotides) under Glomeromycotina sp. RNAcentral's name for it is "partial small subunit ribosomal RNA". The stretch from base 40 to 216 matches the Rfam family "Eukaryotic small subunit ribosomal RNA", at positions 686 to 864 of the family's 1831-position model. Lineage: Eukaryota; Fungi; Glomeromycota. The record is from RNAcentral.
GGGUCUGUAGGUUGGUCGUGCCACCGGUACGUACUGGUCUCACUGAUUCCUCCUUCCUGAAUAACCGUAAUGCCAUUAAUUUGGUGUUGCGGGGAAACAGGACUGUUACUUUGAAAAAAUUAGAGUGUUUAAAGCAAGCUAACGCCUGAAUACAUUAGCAUGGAAUAAUCAAAUAGGACGAUCGAUCCUAUUUUGUUGGUUUCUAGGAUUGACGUA